Ornithodoros turicata is the source of this 425-nucleotide long non-coding RNA. RefSeq lists it as uncharacterized. Lineage: Eukaryota; Metazoa; Arthropoda; Arachnida; Ixodida; Argasidae. The transcript has 3 exons. The record is from RefSeq and is a predicted model, not a curated record.
AAAGGAAAGAUUCUACAUGUCAAGCUGGACCCGUGCGAUUCUGUCCCUUGUGCGGUCAAGAGAGGGCGGCCUGCGGUUCUCUCCGUUGCGACCAUCUGACACGUCAACAGUACGAAGUUGUCCUUGGAUGCUCGCUUCACAUUCUGGGGCAUGGAACACCGGGUGCCAAAUGUGGAACCAGACCUCUGCAAAAGCAUCAAGUGUCCCGUCGCUGCUGGACAAACCUAUGAAAUCUUUCAGGAUAUCGAAACAAGCAAAUGGAUGCCCGCCAUGACGACGGCAAUAACCAUCGAUGUAACCGGCGACAGCGGUCAGAUUGGAUGUCUUACUAUGGAUCUAAGGCUCGUGUAAUAAUUUCUGCGUGACCGUACAGCGAGAGACAUUGUACGAAUAAAAGUUUCUGUUGUGUAUACAUACAGUUGGCA